RNAcentral lists this long non-coding RNA (1219 nucleotides) under Urocitellus parryii (Arctic ground squirrel). Its description in RNAcentral is "lncRNA (ENSUPAG00010019520.1)". Lineage: Eukaryota; Metazoa; Chordata; Mammalia; Rodentia; Sciuridae. The record is from RNAcentral.
CGCGCGGCGAGAAGCGCCCGGACUUGGGGCCAAAGGGACAGCAGAGCGGGGCGCGACCCCAGCGCGGUGGCGCGGCCACCCGAGUCGUCCCCGCGCACGGCGCAAACGACCCUCGGCGGUGGCCCCCCGGCCCAGGGCUGGCACGCACGGGCAGGCGAACCCAGGGCUAACUCUACAACUUGCGGCGCCGCUGCCCGGACCCCGAGUUCCCGGGGUGAUCAGGACCCGGGAGGAGAGGCCGGAGGAAGCCUCUCGGGUCCCAGCAGCUCGCGUGAGCUGGGGAACCCCUUCUGUUCUGUUUUUUUUUUUUUUUUCCUUCCUCUUCUUUCUCGCCCGCCCCACGGAUGGCUGGCCAUGGUUUCAGGGCCCAGAGGCAGCGAGGGGACCGAGUUGGCCCGGAGAGCACCGGGUAGGCACCCCGUAAAAAACGUGGAGUACUCGGAGAGGAAAACUAGGAAGGAGACCUGAGGAGCGCCCGCUCAAGCUCCCUGGACGGACGUAGGACCCAGGAGCAGGGUUUAUCUUCUGCUGCUUUGUCACUGCGAAACCUCCAGCGGAGUCUGCCAGCCAAUCUACACCAUCCCCGGGAAGGAUCUGACCCAGCUAGACAAGGCAAAAGGAACAGGGCUGCUACUUUUUCAGCAGCUCUCCUCGGUUCGGCAUCCGAGUAAGAAAUAACAAUUACAUCACGAGGCCGGGGCGUCUGCGCUGCGAAGAAGCCUCUAGGUUUCCUGCAGCCUGAUCUCGCUGAACCCGCCUCUAAAUUGGGGGGAGAGGGGGCUACGGAUUGGUGAAGCGAGAAAGUGGAGGGAGGAGAGAAUCUUAAGAAACCAUAAUUUCCUCUUCUCCUUGUAUUUGCAGUUUUAAAAAUCGUAUCCUCAGCGCCCCCCAAAAUCUAAGUAGAACUAUUAACACCACCCCCCAACACCUCCCAGAUGUCAGGUUUCUUUUUGACGCUAACAUCUAGCAUUUGGUAGCUCGCCAUGAAAAAAAUUACCCGGGGAAAUGACUUCCGUUGCCGAAAUUGUUUUUGCUUGACACCAAAACGAUAAAGUACAGCUUAGUCUCACCCCAAACUCUGAAAUGGCAUGCCUGUGUUAAAACACUUACUAGAGGAGACAAACGAGUGGAUGAGGCGCUCCAUUCUUAAUAGGUGUUCAUAUCCUUAAGCAUUUGGUAGCAUUCGGAAAUAAAGAGUUGCUAGUGCACUUAAAAAACA